This 2117-nucleotide long non-coding RNA is filed under the name Homo sapiens (human). RNAcentral describes it as "long independently transcribed non-coding RNA 2611 (LINC02611)". The record is from RNAcentral. Lineage: Eukaryota; Metazoa; Chordata; Mammalia; Primates; Hominidae.
CUUCCUGUGUGCAGCAUGGAUCUAAAGCUGGUGGAUGCAGGGGGGUGAACAAGACAACAUCUUCACUUCCUGCAUGCUGAUGGCAGAAGUGAGACAUCAGCGAAGAAACAUCACGAUCACCAAAUUACGAUGAACACCAUGGAGGAAACAAAGGACACUGUGACACCAAGGAAGGAAGGGAGGUUACUUUUCAUAGUGGCUGUAAAUAGAACUGAAGGCUGAAAAACAGCUGUUAAAAUGGCUUGUUUGUUUGAAGAUGAAUGAGAGUACACAAUAAAAGGAAAAAAAUUUGGACACAGACACACACAGAGGGAUGACCACGUGGAGAUGCAGGGAGAGGAUAGCAGCUACAGGCCAGGGCGAGAGGCCUCAGAGGAAACCAGUCCUGCUGACUCUUUGAACUCGGACUUCCAGCCUCCAGAACUGAACCACUGUCUUCCUUUAUCCCAGGAUGUCUGCAAGGAAGAAAAUGUCCUUUUUCUAGCAUUUAGAGGCCACCAACAUUGAAUAACCACACUGGGGUAGACACAGCGGCGAAGAGAUUCCUGCUGUUCCCAUCACAGCAGCCUUGGAGAUGAGAAGACAGAUGGAUCUGACCAGAAGUCUGGAGAACUUCGAGAAAAAAGGAGGAGGACACAAAAGGAAAUAACAAAAAAGAUGCAUCCGGAGCAACUAUGAGGAUGGUAAAUUGGUGUCUAAUUCUGAAAAUCAUAAUUGGUAUAAAUGCUAUGUACUGUGGAAGGAGGGAUGAAGGGUAGAGGGAAUAAAAAAGAACAUGAAGUUAGAAUCCUUGGCAUGAAAGCCUGCCAUUUAUACAAGCAAACAAACAAGAUCAGGGACUAUCAACUGGCUGGCUGAAUUGGACCAAUAGGCAGGUUUAUUCAGCCCCACACUUCAAAAAUUAGGAGAUCUCCAAAUUAAAAUCUGGGAAUCUGACCUUUUGUAACAAAUCAGAGGAUUUGCAACACCAAGAGCAUCAUCACAGGCAACGACCAGCUUGGAUGGGCAGCGGCUGCCCCUGCAGGUGGGUCAGGUGCUCUUCCGUUGGACACAGUCUCCACCACUCCCUGUCGCUUGCUCCUUGCUCCCCAUCAGCAUAACUGUUUGGGCCUUAUAGCAUAUGCAUUUAUCACUCCCUACUAGGACGUCCACAACAUGAAAUGAGAGAACGAUUUGGUAAGUUCAACAAAAGGCAUAUUAUGCAGCCACCAUACAUUCUUUGUGGAAAGAGAAGUGGCAUAAAUCAAUUCAUAAAUUAUCUCAAGUUGUUUCCUCUGGAGUCCUGGGCUGGCUGUUGGAUGAAUUCAUCUGUCUUCUAGCAGAUGGACAAGAAAAUUGAAUUGUAGUGGCCCAUCAGGUGUCGAUCGCAGCCUCUGGGUCCGUGUAGGUGAGCCCUCACCACAGAGAGAAUGAGAGCUGGCUCUAGGACGGGGUGUUGAUCUGUGCACAGCUGCCCGGGAAAGGGCCUAGAGAGAGGAGCUAUGGGUCCUGCACUGACAUCAGCCUUGAACAUGAGGCUGGCGUGGCAGCGGCGGCGGGGUGGGGGGGGACAUGAAUAAUUCAUAUCGCAACCAGAUUGAUGCUCAGUGAGCUUCAAUAGGAAUGAAUUACCUUGUGUGCAUUUCCUGCCUAAAUGUCAGUGUAUCUUUUCACAAGCGCCUGGGACGGGUUUAUGAAUAGGUGCAUUCUCUGAUGCCUCUGCUUUAGGCAAGGCAGUUUCAGAAUCUUGGCUGAGUUUCCAACUUCUGACUUGCUAUUUACAAACUGUAAUCAUAAGAUUUCAAGUGACACAUGACUGAAAAAAAAAAGCCCUUACUCAGGAGAAAUCUGGAUGGAAAUGGAACAAUGGUUUUGAAUGUAUCUGGAUCAUGAAAUGAAAGUCAGGAGGCUUGAGUGUUCUGCUGAGAAAAAGUGAUGGGGGAAGAACAUAAACAUGUAUAGGACACUUACUGUCUUGGGAACUUUAUGGGUGUUCUCAUUGUUAACAUCAUUUAACAGAUGAGAAAAACAGUUCUCAGACAUUGCUGCUAACAGAAAUUCAAUGCAAGCCACAUUUGUAAUUUAAGAUUUCCUAGUAACCACAUUAAAAAAGAGAAAAAUAAAAAAGAGACUGAAAU